GUCUGACAGUCAUGACCGCAGCAGCCGGGUGUGAGGGCAGGGCUGGGUAUUCGGAGACCUUCAGAAGCCUGGUCACGGAGGGCCUGCCCAGGGACCCCCCUGCCUCUCCCCCCAGGCCCCACGGCGGCAGAGACUCACAGGCAAAGAACUGCCAGGGCUGGUAGGUGCGGCCGAAGUCCAUGGACCGCUCCAGCACCCAGAGGUCCGGCCGGGGUGAGUUGGCAAACUUGAUGAGGACGUAGGCCACGUGGAAGACCUGUGGGCCGAGAGGGCGUCAGGGGAGCCAGGGGCGCCUGGAUUCCCAUGCUCCCAGGGGCCUGGCUCAUUUUCUGCCCCUCAGACAGGGGCCCUGGACAGCUGUCCUCGAGGGCCUGGUGGCUGCACAGAUGGUCACAGGAAGGGAAGCCCGCGCUGGAGGACUCCCAUCUGUCUCUGACCUGGUCGCGGCUCCCAGGGCCACACCGGCCGCCCUCGCCAUGACCCGGAGCGAGCGCAGACCCCUGGCUUCGGGACCGCCCUUCCCCCUCCACGCCCCGCUCAGCUCAGCUGCCAGUGCUGACCUUUCCGCUGCUACAUGGUUCUGUGCAGAAAGAAAAAAAAAAGUCUUUUAAAGCAAAAGCCAAACAAAA
RNAcentral lists this long non-coding RNA (629 nucleotides) under Homo sapiens (human). RNAcentral describes it as "HSALNT0270248". Lineage: Eukaryota; Metazoa; Chordata; Mammalia; Primates; Hominidae. The record is from RNAcentral.